Molecule: ribosomal RNA, 427 nt
Filed under: uncultured beta proteobacterium
Lineage: Bacteria; Pseudomonadati; Pseudomonadota; Betaproteobacteria
Description: bacterial SSU rRNA
Rfam family: Bacterial small subunit ribosomal RNA
Source: RNAcentral
UGGGGAAUUUUGGACAAUGGGCGAAAGCCUGAUCCAGCCAUGCCGCGUGAGUGAAGAAGGCCUUCGGGUUGUAAAGCUCUUUUAGUCGGAAAGAAAGAGUUGCAAUGAAUAAUUGUGAUUUAUGGCGGUACCGACAGAAAAAGCAACGGCUAACUACGUGCCAGCAGCCGCGGGAAUACGUAGGGGGCGAGCGUUAAUCGGAAUUACUGGGCGUAAAGGGUGCGCAGGCGGUCUUGCAAGUCAGAUGUGAAAGCCCCGGGCUUAACCUGGGAAUUGCGUUUGAAACUACAAGGCUAGAGUGCAGCAGAGGGGAGUGGAAUUCCAUGUGUAGCAGUGAAAUGCGUAGAGAUGUGGAAGAACACCGAUGGCGAAGGCAGCUCCCUGGGUUGACACUGACGCUCAUGCACGAAAGCGUGGGGAGCAAACA